UACGGAGGGGGCUAGCGUUGUUCGGAAUUAUUGGGCGUAAAGCGCGCGUAGGCGGAUCUGUAAGUUGGGGGUGAAAUCCCGAGGCUCAACCUCGGAACUGCCUUCGAUACUGCAGAUCUCGAGUCCGAGAGAGGUGAGUGGAAUUCCUAGUGUUGAGGUGAAGUUCGUAGAUAUUAGGAAGAACACCAGUGGCGAAGGCGGCUCACUGGCUCGGUACUGACGCUGAGGCGCGAAAGCGUGGGGAUCAAACCGG
Molecule: ribosomal RNA, 253 nt
Filed under: uncultured bacterium
Lineage: Bacteria
Description: partial 16S ribosomal RNA
Rfam family: Bacterial small subunit ribosomal RNA
Source: RNAcentral